RNAcentral lists this ribosomal RNA (373 nucleotides) under uncultured eukaryote. RNAcentral's name for it is "partial 18S ribosomal RNA". It matches the Rfam family "Eukaryotic small subunit ribosomal RNA", at positions 592 to 976 of the family's 1831-position model. The record is from RNAcentral.
CAAUAGCGUAUAUUAAAGUUGUUGCAGUUAAAAAGCUCGUAGUUGAAUUUUUGCUUGCCGCCGAUGUCGGAACUUCCGUACGUUCGGCGGCGUGCAUCCUUGGGUGGAACCUGUGUGGCAUUAGGUUGUCGUGCAGGGGAUGCUCAUCGUUUACUGUGAAAAAAUUAGAGUGUUCAAAGCAGGCUUAUGCCGUUGAAUAUAUUAGCAUGGAAUAAUAAGAUAGGACCUUGGUACUAUUUUGUUGGUUUGCGCACCGAGGUAAUGAUUAGCAGGGACAGUUGGGGGUAUUCGUAUUCCAUUGUCAGAGGUGAAAUUCUUGGAUUUCUGGAAGACGAACUACUGCGAAAGCAUUUACCAAGGAUGUUUCCAUUAA